Molecule: non-coding RNA, 238 nt
Organism: Paramuricea clavata
Lineage: Eukaryota; Metazoa; Cnidaria; Anthozoa; Malacalcyonacea; Plexauridae
Source: the annotation of a GenBank genome assembly
AUACAAGAACGUCAUCGGGGUGUUCUUACUUCACAGAUGAGCCAGGAAAAAAGCAGUGCUAGCACAGUAAAACAGACCAAAAUCUGAAAGGAAAAUACUGCUUUAAAUCAUAGCAGUUGAUGUUCAUGUUGACUAUUAUAAUGAAACGUAUCGUUGAGCCAGGGAGAUAAACUUAACUAUGGACUGUAAAGGCUCUUUUCCACUCAUCGCAAAAACGAACUCGCAAGCACUCUGCGAG